Molecule: ribosomal RNA, 466 nt
Filed under: uncultured bacterium
Lineage: Bacteria
Description: partial 16S ribosomal RNA
Rfam family: Bacterial small subunit ribosomal RNA
Source: RNAcentral
GAUGAACGCUGGCGGCGUGCUUAACACAUGCAAGUCGAACGGAAAGGCUCCUGCUUGCAGGGGUACUCGAGUGGCGAACGGGUGAGUAACACGUGGGUGAUCUGCCCUGCACUUCGGGAUAAGCCUGGGAAACUGGGUCUAAUACCGGAUAGGACGAUGGGUUGGAUGCCAUUGUGGGAAGUUUUUCGGUGUGGGAGGAGCUCGCGGCCUAUCAGCUUGUUGGUGGGGUAAUGGCCUACCAAGGCGUCGACGGGUAGCCGGCCUGGGGGGGGGUACGGCCACAAUGGGACUGAGAAAAGGCCCCGGCUCCGACGGGGGGAAGGAGGGGGGAAGAUUGAACAAUGGGCGCAAGGCCGAUGCAGGGACGCCGCGGGGGGGAUGACCGGCUUCGGGUUGUAAAAUCCUUUCGCUAGGGACGAAGCGUUUUGUGACGGUACCUGGAGAAGAAGCACCGGCUAACUACGUG